UAUUUAUUUUGUUUUGUUUUGAGACAGGGUCUUGCUAUGCAGUUCAGGCUGGUCUUGAACUCACUAUGUAGCCCAAGCUGGCCUCCAACUCAUGGCAGUCCUCUUGCCUCAGCCUC
RNAcentral lists this microRNA precursor (116 nucleotides) under Fukomys damarensis (Damara mole-rat). RNAcentral's name for it is "miRNA (ENSFDAG00000003356.1)". The record is from RNAcentral. Lineage: Eukaryota; Metazoa; Chordata; Mammalia; Rodentia; Bathyergidae.